This 350-nucleotide ribosomal RNA is filed under the name uncultured bacterium. RNAcentral's name for it is "bacterial SSU rRNA". It matches the Rfam family "Bacterial small subunit ribosomal RNA", at positions 355 to 697 of the family's 1533-position model. The record is from RNAcentral.
UAGGGAAUCUUCCACAAUGGACGCAAGUCUGAUGGAGCAACGCCGCGUGAGUGAAGAAGGGUUUCGGCUCGUAAAGCUCUGUUGUUGGUGAAGAAGGACAGGGGUAGUAACUGACCUUUGUUUGACGGUAAUCAAUUAGAAAGUCACGGCUAACUACGUGCCAGCAGCCGCGGUAAUACGUAGGUGGCAAGCGUUGUCCGGAUUUAUUGGGCGUAAAGCGAGUGCAGGCGGCUCGAUAAGUCUGAUGUGAAAGCCUUCGGCUCAACCGGAGAAUUGCAUCAGAAACUGUCGAGCUUGAGUACAGAAGAGGAGAGUGGAACUCCAUGUGUAGCGGUGAAAUGCGUAGAUAU